This 266-nucleotide long non-coding RNA is filed under the name Hordeum vulgare. Its description in RNAcentral is "long non-coding RNA (HVUL_LNC021681)". The record is from RNAcentral. Lineage: Eukaryota; Viridiplantae; Streptophyta; Magnoliopsida; Poales; Poaceae.
AAACAUAUCGUGAUGGGCCCAUGAGGUUCCCUAUAUCUGGAUUGUUACAAGUGCUCGAUCAGGCGAAAUAAAGUCGCCAAAAGAAACAAAUAAAAAUGAAACAAAAACUAGUGCACGUACAAUGUGCAUUCCUGACAAUGAAAUUAUGAGAAACAAUAGAAUAUAAUUUGGUGUGUGUGGCAGGAGGGGGGUAUGUUAUUUGGUGCAGACGAUGGUGUUGUGGAUGCUUCUAAAUAUUAAUGAGAUGCAACUUACGGAAUUGGCCG